GGGGAUUUGGCUCAGUGGUAGAGCGCUUGCCUAGGAAGCACAAGGUCCUGGGUUCAAUCCCCAGCCCCG
Molecule: non-coding RNA, 69 nt
Organism: Rattus norvegicus (Norway rat)
Lineage: Eukaryota; Metazoa; Chordata; Mammalia; Rodentia; Muridae
Source: Rfam